AUGAACGCUGGCGGCGUGCCUAAUACAUGCAAGUCGAGCGAACGGACGAGAAGCUUGCUUUUCUGAUGUUAGCGGCGGACGGGUGAGUAACACGUGGAUAACCUACCUAUAAGACUGGGAUAACUUCGGGAAACCGGAGCUAAUACCGGAUAAUAUUUUGAACCGCAUGGUUCAAAAGUGAAAGACGGUCUUGCUGUCACUUAUAGAUGGAUCCGCGCUGCAUUAGCUAGUUGGUAAGGUAACGGCUUACCAAGGCAACGAUGCAUAGCCGACCUGAGAGGGUGAUCGGCCACACUGGAACUGAGACACGGUCCAGACUCCUACGGGAGGCAGCAGUAGGGAAUCUUCCGCAAUGGGCGAAAGCCUGACGGAGCAACGCCGCGUGAGUGAUGAAGGUCUUCGGAUCGUAAAACCCUGUUAUUAGGGAAGAACAUAUGUGUAAGUAACUGUGCACAUCUUGACGGUACCUAAUCAGAAAGCCACGGCUAACUACGUG
RNAcentral lists this ribosomal RNA (496 nucleotides) under uncultured bacterium. Its description in RNAcentral is "partial 16S ribosomal RNA". It matches the Rfam family "Bacterial small subunit ribosomal RNA", at positions 29 to 507 of the family's 1533-position model. The record is from RNAcentral.